RNAcentral lists this long non-coding RNA (557 nucleotides) under Rattus norvegicus (Norway rat). Its description in RNAcentral is "long non-coding RNA NONRATT012001". Lineage: Eukaryota; Metazoa; Chordata; Mammalia; Rodentia; Muridae. The record is from RNAcentral.
UCUCUUCCACAUUUGCUCCUCUGCUAGUCGGUUCUCAAAUAUCCUGUACUUUUCCUCACUUUGCACACUUUAAUUAUUGAAUGAUCAUUUAAUUGUUUGACGGUUGCAUCAAUCUGCAACAUCGAGCAGAAUGCCUGACAUAGUGAAGAUGCAUAAUAGCCUACAUCACGAUCACUUGACUGACGACUGGCAGAGCUGAAGAAACGAAACUGUCCAAACGAGAAGGUUUCCCGGGCCAAUGCAGUCAAACACGGACCUGGCUCCUAUGUACCUGUCCUCUUCUCUCUCUUCAGCAUCGCUCGCUUCGUCUCUUACUUUCUGUGGCUCAUUUUCUUUACAGAGGCAGGCACGGUAACGACAGUGUUCAGCCCAUAUUUGGAAACUUCGAUUUGUGUUGGACCUUGGAAAAACUACAGAUUGUGCAUAAUGCCUUGAGGAUCCGAUUUUUUAUCUCAGAAUAUGGCUUUUGAAUUUUUUCUCUGUUCCCUAGGCUCUAAGACCAAAUUUUAGGGUUCGUUUUUUGAUUUCUAAUAAACACACACACCUGACCAAAUCAA